Molecule: transfer RNA, 73 nt
Filed under: Seinonella peptonophila
Lineage: Bacteria; Bacillati; Bacillota; Bacilli; Caryophanales; Thermoactinomycetaceae
Rfam family: tRNA
About the family: Transfer RNA (tRNA) molecules are approximately 80 nucleotides in length. Their secondary structure includes four short double-helical elements and three loops (D, anti-codon, and T loops).
Source: Rfam by way of RNAcentral
GGACAGUUAGCUCAGCCGGGAGAGCGCUUCCCCGACACGGAAGAGGUCGCUGGUUCGAUCCCAGUACUGUCCA